Long non-coding RNA from Scophthalmus maximus (turbot), 2228 nucleotides. The record is from Ensembl. NCBI's taxonomy places the organism in Eukaryota, Metazoa, Chordata, Actinopteri, Pleuronectiformes, Scophthalmidae.
UCUCGAAUCAAAUACAUUUUUGUUGAAAUAAGCAACAUUCAAAGUGGUAGUCUAAUCACUGGCUUGUUAGGUCAACUAAUACAUCCAUGCAGUUUGGUCAUUUUGCCACAAACUAGAACUGCAUUCAUUCAAAUUCAUAAAGGGGAAAAAGGAAUCAGAAAAAGAUAUCAGGAAAAUUACAAAGAUGUAAACAAAAGGAAUGCAUGGAGAAUAAAGGCAAGGCACGUUUAUCUGUAUAGCACAUUUCAACAACAACAGGGCAAUUCAAAGUGCUUUACAUAAAAACAUUAGAAGCAUUGGGAAGAAACAAUAAAAUCACAUCACAACAUAAUAAUUAAUCUAUCAUAAUCCCGUUGUCUGUUUUUUUCCGUGCCACAUUCCUUAGUCAGACCUCAGAGCCUCCAUAAUCCCCUUACAGCUACGACCCGCCCACUGGGCCCCCCUGGUGAUUGACAGCCGGCUCCUCCAACCAAGGCGGCGGCCGAGUCGCUCUGGAGCUCCUUCCCCUCCCUCCCUCCCUCCCUCCCAGUCCGACUUUGUUGCUCCGUCGCCCCGCUAGUCCUCCCGACUCCAGUCUCUCUCCGGGGAGCCAGAAGAACAGCUCGACGGAGUCCGCGACCAUGGAAGGCGACAACAUAAUAAUGCCUGUUUGACUACGGCGACAUUUGUUUUCUCCAAGUUUUGUUUCUCCCUUGCUCGCUCCUCACCCGUCCUCCUUUCUCUUUUCUGCUCCCCCUUUUAUUUUUGCUCCCCCCGUCUUGUUUUGCCCUUCGUCCAUCUGCUGCCCAUGCUUUCCCCUCCCUCCCACCCUCCCUGCUUUUGCUGUGUUUGUUGUCUUUAUGGAGCGUUAGCAGCCUUAAAGGAGGCCAAAUGUGUGUUAUCGAGCAUGGUAGUCCUAUCUGAUCUGGCAGGCAGGUAACAGAAAACAAAUGAGAGGGAAGCCAGGACCACACCAUCCAAUGUCUCUUAGAUGAGGACAUCUUCACAGUGAAGGUGAGUGUGUCCAAAUUCUCAUUUGAUUUGCUGAGGUGGUGAUGGGGUCUGUUAAUUUGUCAAUUAACCAGCCUUCACCAUAAGGGUCCCACCAAGACACUGAGUACUUACGUACUAUUUGAGACACAAGGUUUGUCUUCCAAGCUUAGUUAUAUACAUGUAUAUCAUAAGUUAUAGUGUAUAGCAUUUUAUAGCGUAAGAUUUAGUGGCAAACUCUUAUGGUCCUCAAUCGAGCCAGUGGUUUGGUUUGUCCAUUCUGGGCUACUGUAGAAACGUGGCUGUGCCACAUGGCCACGAAUAGAAGCAGCUCUCGCUAUCGAUAUACAGAACAAUUUUCAUAGUUUCAGUUGAUGAUGCACUGAGGAAAACAGCAUCCCUCAUUUUUCAAUUCAACGCAGUCAAAGCAUAACAUACAUUAUCUCAAGGCAUCAUGAGUUUUAUUUUCCCUUUCUGCUGAUAGAUCCCCGAAAUCCUACCUUCUGGACCUUUAACGUUUUUCUUCAUCUCAAGAUUGUUAGAUGUUCUUGUACGUUAGCAAAAAGGCUACAUUAAGUACUAUUUGUCCUUUUUAAUUGAUAAACAAAGUAUCACUUAAUAAUGUUAGCUGAUUUACCACUUGGUCUGAAUCCCGUCCACGCUCUGAUAUAACGUUAUCACAUUUACCACAUUCAAUACACAGAUGGCUAAACGUGGCGUUGUCUGCCAACUGCAGAUUUUGUUGAAAUUCCUGUGCCAAACCGAAUGUUCUUUUUCGAAGACAGUUUUAUAGCUGGGGUUAGGGUUGGUUGCAAUGAGUCAAGCAGGCGGCGUUUACAUCAUCGCCUUACAGAAACACUGCCCAGUGCUAAAAAACAAUGCUUUGCAAGAAACAAUCUGUCACUUCCAUCAAGCGUAGUCUGAUAUGAGAAAUGAUCCGUACAGCCUUUGAUUUAUUUUGCCAAAAUGCGUGGUGUUUCUAACACGUCAGAUCAAGGUUGUUUGUAUAUGAGAGUCAAAGAGAUACUGCAGCAUGAAAAUAUAGAGCACAAAACCAGCUCCUCACUGGGGAACCGACUGCCUGGCAGCUUUUAGAGGUUGAAGAACCAAACCUCCACGGAUUCAGCUGCAACACGAUGGAAAGACAAAAUAUUGAUCCAAGGUCAAAAAUAUGAUGCCUCUUUAACCUUUGUUAAAUAAGCCUAUUGGAUGACACAGACCCUGUUUGGUAAAUUGAUUUUUUUUAAAGGAACAUUUGG